This 458-nucleotide ribosomal RNA is filed under the name uncultured bacterium. RNAcentral's name for it is "partial 16S ribosomal RNA". It matches the Rfam family "Bacterial small subunit ribosomal RNA", at positions 338 to 795 of the family's 1533-position model. The record is from RNAcentral.
CCUACGGGAGGCAGCAGUGAGGAAUAUUGGUCAAUGGGCGCGAGUCUGAACCAGCCAAGUAGCGUGAAGGAUGACUGCCCUACGGGUUGUAAACUUCUUUUAUAAAAGAAUAAAGUGAGGCACGUGUGCCUUUCUGUAUGUACUUUAUGAAUAAGGAUCGGCUAACUCCGUGCCAGCAGCCGCGGUAAUACGGAGGAUCCGAGCGUUAUCCGGAUUUAUUGUGUUUAAAGGGUGCGUAGAUGGGUUUAUAAGUCAGUUGAAAGUUGGCGGCUCAACCAUAAAAUUGCAAUUGAUACUGGCAGUCUUGAGUGCAGUUGAGGUAGGCGGAAUGCGUGGUGUAGCGGUGAAAUGCUUAGAUAUCACGAAGAACUCCGAUUGCGAAGGCAGCUUACCAAACUGCCACUGACAUUGAUGCUCGAAAGUGUGGGUAUCAAACAGGAUUAGAUACCCGGGUAGGC